This 276-nucleotide ribosomal RNA is filed under the name uncultured bacterium. RNAcentral describes it as "partial 16S ribosomal RNA". It matches the Rfam family "Bacterial small subunit ribosomal RNA", at positions 334 to 607 of the family's 1533-position model. The record is from RNAcentral.
UGUUCCUACGGGGCGCAGCAGUGAGGAAUAUUGGUCAAUGGCCGAGAGGCUGAACCAGCCAAGUCGCGUGAGGGAUGACGGCCCUACGGGUUGUAAACCUCUUUUGCCGGGGAGCAAAGAGCGGGACGCGUCCCGCCUCGAGAGUACCCGGAGAAAAAGCAUCGGCUAACUCCGUGCCAGCAGCCGCGGUAAUACGGAGGAUGCGAGCGUUAUCCGGAUUUAUUGGGUUUACAGGGUGCGCAGGCGGAGGCGCACGUCAGCGGUACAAUUGAGAGG